RNAcentral lists this ribosomal RNA (1175 nucleotides) under Staphylococcus aureus. Its description in RNAcentral is "bacterial SSU rRNA". It matches the Rfam family "Bacterial small subunit ribosomal RNA", at positions 86 to 1247 of the family's 1533-position model. The record is from RNAcentral. Lineage: Bacteria; Bacillati; Bacillota; Bacilli; Caryophanales; Staphylococcaceae.
CUGAUGUUAGCGGCGGACGGGUGAGUAACACGUGGAUAACCUACCUAUAAGACUGGGAUAACUUCGGGAAACCGGAGCUAAUACCGGAUAAUAUUUUGAACCGCAUGGUUCAAAAGUGAAAGACGGUCUUGCUGUCACUUAUAGAUGGAUCCGCGCUGCAUUAGCUAGUUGGUAAGGUAACGGCUUACCAAGGCAACGAUGCAUAGCCGACCUGAGAGGGUGAUCGGCCACACUGGAACUGAGACACGGUCCAGACUCCUACGGGAGGCAGCAGUAGGGAAUCUUCCGCAAUGGGCGAAAGCCUGACGGAGCAACGCCGCGUGAGUGAUGAAGGUCUUCGGAUCGUAAAACUCUGUUAUUAGGGAAGAACAUAUGUGUAAGUAACUGUGCACAUCUUGACGGUACCUAAUCAGAAAGCCACGGCUAACUACGUGCCAGCAGCCGCGGUAAUACGUAGGUGGCAAGCGUUAUCCGGAAUUAUUGGGCGUAAAGCGCGCGUAGGCGGUUUUUUAAGUCUGAUGUGAAAGCCCACGGCUCAACCGUGGAGGGUCAUUGGAAACUGGAAAACUUGAGUGCAGAAGAGGAAAGUGGAAUUCCAUGUGUAGCGGUGAAAUGCGCAGAGAUAUGGAGGAACACCAGUGGCGAAGGCGACUUUCUGGUCUGUAACUGACGCUGAUGUGCGAAAGCGUGGGGAUCAAACAGGAUUAGAUACCCUGGUAGUCCACGCCGUAAACGAUGAGUGCUAAGUGUUAGGGGGUUUCCGCCCCUUAGUGCUGCAGCUAACGCAUUAAGCACUCCGCCUGGGGAGUACGACCGCAAGGUUGAAACUCAAAGGAAUUGACGGGGACCCGCACAAGCGGUGGAGCAUGUGGUUUAAUUCGAAGCAACGCGAAGAACCUUACCAAAUCUUGACAUCCUUUGACAACUCUAGAGAUAGAGCCUUCCCCUUCGGGGGACAAAGUGACAGGUGGUGCAUGGUUGUCGUCAGCUCGUGUCGUGAGAUGUUGGGUUAAGUCCCGCAACGAGCGCAACCCUUAAGCUUAGUUGCCAUCAUUAAGUUGGGCACUCUAAGUUGACUGCCGGUGACAAACCGGAGGAAGGUGGGGAUGACGUCAAAUCAUCAUGCCCCUUAUGAUUUGGGCUACACACGUGCUACAAUGGACAAUACAAAGGGC